This 66-nucleotide transfer RNA is filed under the name Nitidulidae sp. 1 ACP-2013. RNAcentral describes it as "tRNA-Thr". It matches the Rfam family "tRNA". From Rfam's summary of the family: Transfer RNA (tRNA) molecules are approximately 80 nucleotides in length. Their secondary structure includes four short double-helical elements and three loops (D, anti-codon, and T loops). The record is from RNAcentral. Lineage: Eukaryota; Metazoa; Arthropoda; Insecta; Coleoptera; Nitidulidae.
AGUUUUUAUAAUUUAAAUUAAAAUACUGGUCUUGUAAACCAGAAAUAUGAAUUAUUCAUUUAAAAC